Amphimedon queenslandica is the source of this 408-nucleotide long non-coding RNA. RefSeq lists it as uncharacterized. The record is from RefSeq and is a predicted model, not a curated record. The transcript has 2 exons. NCBI's taxonomy places the organism in Eukaryota, Metazoa, Porifera, Demospongiae, Haplosclerida, Niphatidae.
UUUAAUAUCACUGAAAUGUAUAUAACAAGUGGGUCUCGAAGUCUGUGUGCUUUGGAUGAGUGCAGUCAGUGUGAAAAAUCACUUAAAAAUUACAGAAUUAUUACAGGAUCUCUCAGUUCACUGCUUUUAUUCAGUGUCGUUGUAUUUCUUAUUAUAGUCAUUUGGUUCUGUUGUAGAAAGAAAUGCUGCUGUUGCUGCAGAAAAGAUUAUGCAAAUCUUCCUGAUCAUCAUGUUAGAUAUCGAGUAGAUGGUGACAGAAAUGAUGAUUGAGAUGUGAAUUUUCUCUCUAUAUUUAAUUAAAUAAUUUUUUACCCGUGAUAUAUAUGAAAUUGAUUUAAUUAUACUAGAUUUAUUUUGUAUUACUUUUAUAAAACACUGUUAUUUGUAUUAGUUUAAUUGAACACUGUA